AAGGAUUUAAGUUAAAAAAACUCGCAACCUUCAAAGUUGCAAAUAAAGGAAAAGCUUUAAGCCUUA
Molecule: transfer RNA, 66 nt
Filed under: Hydroporus analis
Lineage: Eukaryota; Metazoa; Arthropoda; Insecta; Coleoptera; Dytiscidae
Description: tRNA-Trp
Source: RNAcentral